UACGUAGGUGACAAGCGUUGUCCGGAUUUACUGGGCGUAAAGGGCGCGUAGGCGGCCAGUGCAAGUCAGUUGUGAAAUCUCCGAGCUUAACUCGGAAAGGUCAACUGAUACUGCUCGGCUAGAGUGCGGAAGGGGCAACUGGAAUUCUUGGUGUAGCGGUGGAAUGCGCAGAUAUCAGGAGGAACACCGAUGGCGAAGGCAGGUCACUGGGCCGCAACUGACGCUGAGGAGCGAAAGCAUGGGGAGCGAACAGG
RNAcentral lists this ribosomal RNA (254 nucleotides) under uncultured bacterium. Its description in RNAcentral is "partial 16S ribosomal RNA". It matches the Rfam family "Bacterial small subunit ribosomal RNA", at positions 524 to 776 of the family's 1533-position model. The record is from RNAcentral.